RNAcentral lists this long non-coding RNA (425 nucleotides) under Pelusios castaneus (West African mud turtle). Its description in RNAcentral is "lncRNA (ENSPCEG00000008469.1)". Lineage: Eukaryota; Metazoa; Chordata; Testudines; Pelomedusidae. The record is from RNAcentral.
AAUGUAUGGCCUGUAUUUCAUUGUAAUACAGUGCACUGUAUAUUUUUGUCAUGAUUCUGUUGGUAAUAUUUAUCAUAUUUUUAUUACAGGUCUAGGCCAGCAUACAGGUAAUCUCUGGCCCACUGGAAACACACUGGAGCUGGAAGAUGAAAGUUUAGAGAGCAGCAGCGACCUUACAGUUUCUGUGAGUGAAGAGGAUCAGAUAAUAAAUACAGUUGAGCUACGGCAGAGCCUAGGAGAUAUGGCUCGCAAUGCGGCCUUAAAAUCAAAGAACUCAGAACAAGAAAAAAACCAACAGUCUGUUGAAGAACAUUUUUCUUUGCAAAACAUGAGCCACCAUAGCAUUGAUGAAGACUCUUCAGCUGAUUCAGCAACAAGACAGGUUGCUGAUUUGAGGUUUCUUGUGCGGAGAGAGGAGGACAGGG